AGCGUGGCUUGCAGAGCGGCUUGAGGCACUUCAGAUUGCGCUCAUAACCCAGAGGUCGCAGGUUCAAAUCCUGCCCCCGCUACAA
RNAcentral lists this transfer RNA (85 nucleotides) under Nocardioides sp. JS614. Its description in RNAcentral is "tRNA-Met-CAT-4-1". Lineage: Bacteria; Bacillati; Actinomycetota; Actinomycetes; Propionibacteriales; Nocardioidaceae. The record is from RNAcentral.